AGCGAACGCUGGCGGCAGGCUUAACACAUGCAAGUCGAGCGGGCAUCCUUGUGGUGUCAGCGGCAGACGGGUGAGUAACGCAUGGGAACGUGCCCUUCGGUUCGGAAUAACUCAGGGAAACUUGAGCUAAUACCGGAUACGUGCGAGAGCAGAAAGGUUUAUCUGCCGAAGGAUCGGCCCGCGUCUGAUUAGCUAGUUGGUGAGGUUAUGGCUCACCAAGGCGACGAUCAGUAGCUGGUCUGAGAGGAUGAUCAGCCACACUGGGACUGAGACACGGCCCAGACUCCUACGGGAGGCAGCAGUGGGGAAUAUUGGACAAUGGGGGCAACCCUGAUCCAGCCAUGCCGCGUGAGUGAUGACGGCCUUAGGGUUGUAAAGCUCUUUUCUCCGGGACGAUAAUGACGGUACCGGAGGAAUAAGCCCCGGCUAACUUCGUG
RNAcentral lists this ribosomal RNA (437 nucleotides) under uncultured bacterium. RNAcentral describes it as "partial 16S ribosomal RNA". It matches the Rfam family "Bacterial small subunit ribosomal RNA", at positions 29 to 507 of the family's 1533-position model. The record is from RNAcentral.